CCUACGGGAGGCAGCAGUGGGGAAUAUUGGACAAUGGGGGGAACCCUGAUCCAGCGACGCCGCUUGCGUGCCGCCUUCUUUCUUUCUUUCCCUCUCUCUCAGCAGGGAAGAAAGAAAUGACGGUACCUGACUAAGAAGCCCCGGCUAACUACGUGCCAGCAGCCGCGGUAAUACGUAGGGGGCAAGCGUUAUCCGGAUUUACUGGGUGUAAAGGGAGCGUAGACGGCGAUGCAAGUCUGAAGUGAAAGGCGGGGGCCCAACCCCCGGACUGCUUUGGAAACUGUAUGGCUGGAGUGCAGGAGAGGUAAGUGGAAUUCCUAGUGUAGCGGUGAAAUGCGUAGAUAUUAGGAGGAACACCAGUGGCGAAGGCGGCUUACUGGACUGUAACUGACGUUGAGGCUCGAAAGCGUGGGGAGCAAACAGGAUUAGAUACCCUUGUAGUC
RNAcentral lists this ribosomal RNA (443 nucleotides) under uncultured bacterium. RNAcentral describes it as "partial 16S ribosomal RNA". It matches the Rfam family "Bacterial small subunit ribosomal RNA", at positions 338 to 795 of the family's 1533-position model. The record is from RNAcentral.